AAGCAGGUUCCCCCUAGGCAGAGCGCCAAGAAGCAGCCCAGGCGAUCCCAAGGCGCACAAGUGCUCUCACCAGGCUGCGCGCUGGCGGGUCGGUGCACAGGGACGGGGUCGCCGCCCACGCGCGCUUGGUUCAGGGAGCCCAGGCUGUCCCUACCCGCGGCUACAAAAGCUCGCCGAGUCUUCCUGUCCACCCAAUCGCCCCACAUGUCAGCGGUUGGUCGCCUCGCGGUGCAGUGCUGGGCACGCGAGCCCCUCCCGCAGUCAUUCUCAGCACAAGCACCAGCCUGGAGCCCCGCAGCGACAGAGCUGAGAGCCCCCAAGCCGCAGAGGUCGUGCGGAGCAGAACAGAAGAAACACACGUGUUCUUGUGUGUAAACCCAGUCCAUGGAAGAGACCGUCUGCUUGUCCCUCCUGAUCUCUGGGCCCAGACAACCAGUAGUCACCAUUCCAAGUGAGGGGUGGCUGCAACUCUACAGCCCCGUUCGUCUCUCCUCACUGUCAAAGCUGCUGAGACCCCAGACUCGACACUUGAAAGAAACCCAUGUCUGUGAAGCACUUGUGGACCAUUCAAGAUUGUGGAAGAAUCACUCAAGAGAAGGAGAUAGGUGAUGGGAUCUAGCUUCUGAUGGUUUCUAUUUUAUUGAAUGUCUAAUAGGGCAAGAAUUUGAAAAACGAGAAUGUUUGCCAUGCAGGAGGACCUGGGAAGGAGAUAACACAUUUACAGGGAGAAAGAUUGGGAUUCAGUUGGGAGGAGUAACUGAGGAAAGGGGUCACUCAAAAUAUUUUGUAUUUUAGGUCCUUUUUCUAUUAAGGAGGAAUGGAUUAUCAAAGCCUUAACAUUAAAUUGUAUUGUGUCAGGUGAAUUGCUAUGGUUUGAAUGUGGUGUGUCCCCCUCCCAAACUCACAUUGAAUUUUUUUUUUUUUUUUUGAGACGGAGUCUCGCUCUGUUGCCCAGGCUGGAGUGCAGUGGUGCGAUCUUGGCUCACUACAAGCUCUGCCUCCCGGGUUCAAGAGAUUCUCCUGCCUCAGCCUCCCGAGUAGCUGGGAUUACAGAUGUUCGUCACCACACCUGGCUAAUUUUUGUAUUUUUAAUAGAGAUGGGGUUUCACUAUGUUGGCUAGGCUGGUCUCAAACUCCCGACAUCAGGUGAUCCACCCACCUCGGCCUCCCAAAGUGCUGGGAUUAGAGGAGUGAGCCACUGCACCCAGCCUCACGUUGAGGUUUAAUUGCCAUUGUAACAGUAUAAAGAUGUGGGACCUUUACGAGGUGAUUAGGCAAUGAGGACUCUGCCCUCAUGAAUGGAUUAAUGCUGUUAUCAUGGGAGUGGAUUCCUUAUAAAGGGACACGUUCAGCACCCCCUUGCUCUCUCUCUCACCUUCCGCCAUAUGAUGAUGGGGCACAAAGGCCAUCAUCAGAUGUUGGCCCCUUGUUCUCGAACUUCCCAACCUCCAGAGCAGUAAAAAAAUAAAUCACUGUUCUUUAC
This 1483-nucleotide long non-coding RNA is filed under the name Homo sapiens (human). Its description in RNAcentral is "HSALNT0063117". Lineage: Eukaryota; Metazoa; Chordata; Mammalia; Primates; Hominidae. The record is from RNAcentral.